GAUGAACCGCGUAGGCGAUAGGCUUAACACAUGACAAGUCGAGGGGGUAACAGUGGGAGUAGCUUGCUACUUCUGAUGGCGACCGGCGGAUGGGCGAGUAACGCGUAUGCAACUUGCCUCUUAGUGGGGAAUAACCCCGGAGAAAUCCGGACUAAUACCGCAUACACUUAGUUAUCCGCAUGGAUGAUUAAGGAAAGAUUUAUUGCUAAGAGAUAGGCAUGCGUUCCAUUAGUUGGUUGGUGAGGUAACGGCUCACCAAGGCAUCGAUGGAUAGGGGAGCUGAGAGGCUUAUCCCCCCACAUUGGGACUGAGAUACGGCCCAA
RNAcentral lists this ribosomal RNA (323 nucleotides) under uncultured bacterium. RNAcentral describes it as "bacterial SSU rRNA". It matches the Rfam family "Bacterial small subunit ribosomal RNA", at positions 34 to 334 of the family's 1533-position model. The record is from RNAcentral.